Molecule: RNA transcript, 1707 nt
Organism: Sesamum indicum (sesame)
Lineage: Eukaryota; Viridiplantae; Streptophyta; Magnoliopsida; Lamiales; Pedaliaceae
Gene: SUFE2
Gene name: sulfur E2
Source: RefSeq, a predicted model, not a curated record
AGGUGUGCAUGACGUUUAUUUUAAUUUUAAAUUUAAUUCAAUUUAUUUUUUUUUUAAAAUUACGUGCCAAGUAUAUAUCGAUAAGACACUAACAUGAAUACGAAUUGUGAUAGAAGAUAUGAUACGAACAAUUUUAUAGUUACCAUAAUUGUAAGCCUUAAUUAUGCAUCCAUAGACAGACACGUAUUAUAUGAUGGGUAUAAAUUAAUAUACGUGUAUUACUACACAAAUCAUAUAGCCUUAUUCUUGGUUAAGGAAACCGUAUAUACUGCAUUAAUUUGUAAUUUGGCGCCUCGUUUGGUGGGAUGAAAUGUGCCCCUAUAAAAGUCGUCUUCCUCCCUCUUCGCACUAGUCUCCGAGUGACAGAGGUCCGCAGUUCAAGGAUCACUCACUUUUGCCUAUUUCUCUCUCACUCACAAACACUGCAACAACCAACUUCCGCGCCACCCAACUGUCAGUCUCUCUACUUCUUCAAAAACCAGACAAAGAUGGCCUCUUCACUUCCAGGAUCGCCCCUUUCUCCGUCUUCGUCAUUCUUGUUUACGAAACCAGUCAAUUGUAUUGAAUCCAAAUACCCUUCACACAUCCCGCCAAGUUCUUCCCCAAACCCGCCAUUUUUAAGGCGUGUCUUUGAUCCCACAUCAAGCAAACCAUUCCGGCAAAGAUUUUCACUUUCUUGCUUAACAAUAAACCAACACCCUGUGGCUCAAAUCCCAAGCGUUUCAGAGAAGGUGCAGAACUUAGAUUUUGAAUUCAAAUCAUUGCCCGAGCCAAUUGACAGAGUGAAAAGAUUGCUGCACUACGCCGCUCUUCUUCCUCCAUUUGAUGAAUCUUUGAGAACUCAAGAAAAUCGAGUCUUUGGUUGUACGGCCCAGGUUUGGCUGGAGGUGAAGAUGGAUGGAAAUGGGGCGAUGAGAUUCAGAGUGGACAGUGAUUCAGAGAUCACAAAAGGGUUCUCUUCUUGCUUGGUUUGGUUACUGGAUGGGGCCGAAGCCGAGGAGGUCUUGAGUGUGAAGAUUGACGAUUUGGUGGAAAUGAAUGUGGGGUUGCCGAGUAGGGGUAACUCCAGGGUGAAUACUUGGCAUAAUGUGUUGAUUAGUAUGCAGAGGAGGACUAAGGAUUUGGUUGAGGAGAGGAGCAGAAGAAAACAUCAGUCUUUGGAAGCUUUUUCUUCCUUAGCUGCUGUAAUUGCAAGUUGCAAGGAAAAUCAGUUGUCCGAACACCUGCUGUUAUAACGCCUUCCUUGGAUCUGUGUACAUGGAAAUGAAGCCAGAGAAGAAAACUUGUAAUAGAAACUACUAAUCAAUGCUCUGAUACUGGAUCAUCAGGAAAGGUACAUCACACCUUUUGACUCUAAAACGUCUUUUAGGUCUCUCCACACAGUGUACAAGUGACAUGUGAAAUGUAAACGGUGUAUCUGAGGCAUAAUAGUUGCCAAUUAUAUCGCGAAUUGCUGCAAUGAUCAUAGGUCGGUUCUGUAACAAUUUAGCCAACCAAUUUUUAGUCUUUAACAUUUUACGUGGACUGACUGAAACUUCAGAUAAUCGAUAUUGAAAAGUUGAGGAAAAUUUUCGCCUUUCUUUGUGAACAAUACGUCUUAGCUUUGCUUUACUGGUAACUGUAGUGCUGCUGAAAGUGAAAAUUUGCUGGCAAAUGGCAUUGCUUAUAAUAAUGUAAUGAUAACCCUCCAUCAUACUGUCGAUAGAA